GUUAGGAAUAUUGGACAAUGGGCGCAAGCCUGAUCCAGCCAUGCCGCGUGAGUGAUGAAGGCCUUCGGGUUGUAAAGCUCUUUAGCCGAUGAUUAUAAUGACUGUAGUCGGAAAAUAAGCCCCGGCUAACUUCGUGCCAGCAGCCGCGGUAAUACGAAGGGGGCGAGCGUUAUUCGGAAUCACUGGGCGUAAAGCGUGCGUAGGCGGCUUUGCAAGUUGGGAGUGAAAGCCCAGGGCUCAACCCUGGAAUUGCUCUCCAAACUGCAAGGCUCGAAUUCGGGAGAGGAUAGCGGAAUUGUCAGUGUAGCAGUGAAAUGCGUAGAUAUUGACAGGAACACCAGUGGCGUAAGCGGCUAUCUGGACCGAUAUUGACGCUGAGGCACGAAAGCGUGGGGAUCAAACAGGAUUAGAAACCCGUGUAGUCC
RNAcentral lists this ribosomal RNA (425 nucleotides) under uncultured bacterium. Its description in RNAcentral is "bacterial SSU rRNA". It matches the Rfam family "Bacterial small subunit ribosomal RNA", at positions 354 to 796 of the family's 1533-position model. The record is from RNAcentral.